This 5281-nucleotide long non-coding RNA is filed under the name Lupinus angustifolius (narrow-leaved blue lupine). RNAcentral describes it as "long non-coding RNA (LANG_LNC000330)". Lineage: Eukaryota; Viridiplantae; Streptophyta; Magnoliopsida; Fabales; Fabaceae. The record is from RNAcentral.
UUUCCUUUGUACAGAAAGCAUGUAAACUGUUGAUUGCUUUGAGCUGCUUUCUUGAGUUUUCUCUCCAUUUUUGCACUUACCUCCGUCGAUUUUGAGGUAGCUUUCAUAAAACUCCUCAUACUUACACCCUGAAUCUACAAUGCAAGAUGAACUUUCAUAGUGAAGCAACUGAGUAUUUGGGACUCCUCCCAAAGCAUUUCCGGCGAAAGGAUAACAAUCUGUUGGUCAUAAAGGAAGAAACCGAAAAAUUGCAUGACUAUAAGAAGAAUGAAAAUAAGUAUUCUGAAAUAGUCACUAGGUAGAAACAAGAUAUAAAUGAUUACCUCCAUGCACACUACUGAAGUCAUCAUCUGAAUCAGAUUCUAUAAUGCUAACUGAGUCAAACCAUGCUUCAUCUUGAAAUUUUCCUGUAAUAUAUAUAAAACUCCUCAGCAUCAAGGACAAACAAAUCAGAUAAAAAUUAAUAAAUAACCAUAGGAUAAAAACUAAUGCAUGAUAAUUUACUCAAUUAGUCGCUGCUAAUUUAACUCUCUCUUUACACAACAUUAACAUAAAUCUCCUAAUACUUCUACAUUCCAGAACGCAGAGAUAAAUGGUACCAUUUGCAUCAAUUUGAGUAUGGCUAUGGUAUUGAAGCUGAGUAAGAUGAAUUUUCAUAUUCGAAACCUCGGAUCUCCUGCAGGUGGCUGAAGAAGGCCUAUCAAAGUCCAAAUUAACAAAGUCGCCAAGAGUGAACUCUCCUACGCGAUUUCCAGCAUUGCUAACCCUUUUCAAAGCCAUAUCAGGAAUCGCGGCAUUACUACUUUUUCCUCGGCGUUUGCUUGAUUUGUUAUUUUUUCUUUUAUGGCCACUGCUCUUCUUGCCAUUUGGUUUUGAGGUACAGCUUCCCAUUGUGCUAAAAGCAAUCUUUUUCACUAGUCCAGCCAACAUUGUGUUUCUAUAUGUACUUGAUCACAGUGUGUGUCUAUGAUCUCCUUUGAGUAAAAGGAACCUUGCAGACACACAAAUAAUCAAUUUUUCAUCAAGAAAUGGAAUUGAAGAAGAAUAUAGCAUAACUACAAAAGCAAAUUAUACAUGAAUAAUUCAGUUCUGCUUAACCACCACCCCUUAUUUGAAAUUGUUGUUUUUGUAGUUUGCAACAAUUCUAGAUGACACGAACACAUAAUUACUGACUAAGUCACGACCAGAUCGUUCUCUUUAUGUUGCAUUAUACCAUUGUAGGAAAAUCAAAUAUAACAUUGACAAUUCGAGAUUAUGAAUAAAAUUGAGCAAAAUCACAUACCUUAAACUCUAAAAAUCAACACUCCAGAAUUCUCCACUUGAACCAAUAGAUUAUUGAUACAAACCUAUAGUGAAAUAUUUAAUUGAGGCCAUAGAGGUAACAUAGCUUUGCCUCCAUACCACCUUUGAAGAAAAAUGAAGAAAGUAAUAAUCAAAUAAAAAUUUACAUAUUCCAUCAAUCAAAUGGUAAAGAAAAUUGUAACCAGAUUUUUUGCAAAGCAAUCUAGCAUAUAGAAUUAGAUCCAAUAUAAAUAUAAAUUAUGAAUAAAAAGAUUCAACAAUACGAAGUGAAGGUAGAAAUGAAAAUGUUGGCAUUGAUAAAUAUUAUCAUAUGGACAAAAAACACAAAACACAUGCAUGAAAUCUCUAAGGGGUAUGAUAAAACAUGCAAAAUGAUAAUGUCACGUGAAAAUAAAAGCAGACAUAAGAAAAAAUUAUGGGAAACAUUGAAUAGAGAAAAUAUGCGGUCCUAUAAAACACAUGCAUGAAGAAAAAAGGUUGAAACAAGAAAACAUAACAGAAGAAGAAACUACAACAUUUGUCAUAUGAAUAGAAAAAGAUUAUGAAUAAAAAAUGGAACAAAAGAUAGAGAAUAGAAGAAGGGACCUGAGGAAAGUAGGGGCAUGGAGAAAUGAGGAACCUUGGUUCCUAAAAAGGAACAAGGAAUCCUUUGUAGUUGCCUGGUUUCUUUGUAUCUAUGUGGUUAGAAGGAAAUGGAAUGAAGAAGAAAAACAAGAAAAUAUAAAGACAAAAAAAAUAGAAAAUGGGUUAGAAAAAGAGAUAGAAUUGGACAACUAGAGACACCAAAAAGAACAAGAGUAUACGCUGUAUUAGGAUCCAACUUGGUUGUCAUAGUCUUUAUCAUUUCCUUUCAAAUCUCUUUCUAUGUCUCUAUUCAUUCUAAGAAAAACUAUUUUUUAAUUUUUACUCUAUUAUUAUUUUUCUAUGGGUUUUCUCUAUUACUAUGAACAAUAAUUCUAUUAUUAAUGGAUAAGUAAAUACAUGUUUUUUCUUUUUUUAAUGAUAAAAAUAUAAUUUUAUUAUAACAAAAAAGAUAAAAGUAUCAUUAAAAUUGUAUUUUUCUUUGUUUUUUGAAGUAUUUAUCUCUUUAUUAAUGGAGAAAAUCCUAACUUUAUUAUUAUUGUUUCCAAACAAAUAAAACAAUUAAAUAUGAGAUCAUAUAAAAGAGGAAUUUACCAACUUUGGUAUUAGAGUAAUUAUUUUAAUGGACAUACAUUAAUGUAAUGUUUUUUUAAUAUAAUUCACGUUGGUUGAUAUAUUUUUAUUUAAGAAUUAAUAAUAUUUUACAAGUUAAUAAUAUAAAAAACUGUUGAUGACAAAACUUUUUCUUUUAUUUACUUUCAACUUCUAAAUAGUAAUAUUACAAAGUUGAUAUGCUUAAAUUUAUUUAAUAUUUUUCGAGAAUCAGAAUCCAGACUAAAUAGAAAGGAUAAUAUUAGAAAAAUGUGUUGAGUUCUCUAAUAUUGAUAUUGAACAUAAUUAAAGAUUAAUAUUCAAUUAAAUGGAACAAUACUUAUUCAGAAUAUUGGUCACCUAUUUUGAAAGAAAUUAAUUUUUUAUACCUAUGGUGGAGAUAUACAUUCUUUAACAACAAAAUAUGAUUUUGUGACUAUAGUUUGUUAUUAAUUUAUCCAUGUGUUUGAAUUCCUCAUCCUAUCCUUAUUCUCAUUCUCUUCCUCAUCCUAUCCUCAUGCUAUCCUCAUCCCCAUCGUCAUCAUCUUCCUCAUCCUAUCCUCCUCCUCUUCCUCAUCCUAUCCUCCUCCUCAUCGUCAUCCUCAUCCUCAUCCUCGUCCUCAUCAUCAUCCUAUUCUCAUCCUCAUCCUUAUCCUCCUCUUCUUCCUAAUUCUAUCCUCAUCCUCCUCCUCAUCUUAUCCUCAUCUUCAUCCCAUCCUCAUCCUAUCCUCCUCCUCCUCCUCAUGCUCUUAGUCAUCCUCAUCCUAUCCUCACCCUCAUCCUCAUCCUCAUGCUAUCCUCAUCCCCAUCCUCAUCAUCUUCCUCAUCCUAUCCCACUCCUCUUCCUCAUCAUAUCCUCCUCCUCAUCCUCCUCGUCAUCCUCCUCCUCAUCCUAAUCCUAUCCUAUCCUCAUCCUCAUCCUCAUCAUCUUCCUCAUCCUGUCCUCAUCCUCAUCCUAUCCUCAUCCUCAUCCACAUCCUAUCCAUGUCCUCAUCCUCAUUUCUAUCCUCCUCCUCAUCCUAUCCUCAUUCUCAUCCUCUUCCUAAUCCUAUCCNNNNNNNNNNNNNNNNNNNNNNNNNNNNNNNNNNNNNNNNNNNNNNNNNNNNNNNNNNNNNNNNNNNNNNNNNNNNNNNNNNNNNNNNNNNNNNNNNNNNUCCUUUGUAUACCCUUUCACCUUUUCCAUCUCAUCCUCUACUAAUCUCUGUAAACCAAUUCUUUUAUUUAGUUGGAAAAAAAGUACUUAAGUGUAGAAGCAAGAAAACUGAUGCAAGACCAAAUGAGCUUUUUUUUGGAAGUGUGGAAAUUGAGAAUGACCAAUAUACUACUAUGCUGAGCAUGUCAUAUUUGGACUAUGUAAAAAGUGUACCUAACAAUUUCUAACACUUUUGUAGCUAGAUAGUACACAAGGGAAAUUCAAUUAUUGGAAACAAAAUCUAAUAUCUACCUAUGCAAAGCUGAAAUUUUUUUGCCUUUAGGAAACAUAAGAAAGCUGCCAACUAUUGAACAAUUUCUUUCCUUGAAAAAUCCUUUUAGAAGAUUAUAGUAAACUUGCAUUUGAAAGUUGAAUCAAGUGACAAUUGAUGAGAGGAAAAAUACCUUGAUGCUCUCUUGAAACUGUGGUGAGACCUCUUGGUCAAAACUCUCAGAUAAUUUAAAAUAUAGCACAAGGCUCAUGCCUUCUCCAUCGGCAUCACCGAGGAAUAUGCUAGCAGGAUAUGUUGGCAACUGGUGCAAAAGAAGCAUAAUUAAAUUAUGUAAUCAUUCUUUUGCAUUGUUCAAAGAGGAAGUCAUAAACUUCAUCACAAGGGAAAUGAAUAGGUUGUUAAGAUAAAGAGCAAACCUGAAUAUUAACAAUGAGAAGGGAAGGUACUUUAUCAUGUUCUUUGACAAAAGGAAGUUCAACAUGCUGAGCAAUGUGAUCUAUCUUCCGUGAACAGACGAAGAAAUCGACACCUAUUGGUACAUAAGGGCAGUAUUCUGGAGCAGGACACUUCUGCUUAUCUCUGCAUAAAUUAUCGGCAUUUCAUUAUAUAAUAAUAAUAUAAUAAGGCAUCAAAAACAACAACCAAACCUUAAUCCCACUACAUGGGGUCAGCUACAUUAUCGAGCGAAAAUAAAAUACAUGGACUAACUAAUGGAUAUAGAUGUGAUGUGUAUGAGAUAACUAGAGACUGGCAGGUACAAUUUUCUGACUUGCCUGAAGAAACUUUCACCGCGGAGCUUGAACACUGAAGGAGAAACUGCAGACCAUGAUCCAGGAAAUGGCUUCUCUGGAGUUGAAAAUGGAAUUUGAAGACCAGCUCUAGGACGAAAAAGGAAUCUCUCAGAUGCACCUGUUGUAAUGUUUAAAUACACUGCUUUGACAACUUCAAAUAUAAUAUAGAAAACAAACUCCAAAUAAAGAGAAGAAAAAAUGUAACAAAUAGUGCAACAAGCAAAAUAUUAUUGACUGAUGUAUUGAGUGCAGAUUGCACUCUCAUUUUUGGAGAAGAUAAUGUUCCAUAUGCAGAACAUUGAAUAAAAACAGAGGAAAAUCUCACAUAAUAUGCACUUACAUAAUUCAGUCCUCUCUUUUACAUCAAUGGAUUUCCUUUGUACAGAAAGCAUGUAAACUGUUGAUUGCUUUGAGCUGCUUUCUUGAGUUUUCUCUCCAUUUUUGCACUUACCUCCGUCGAUUUUGAGGUAGCUUUCAUAAAACUCCUCAUACUUACACCCUGAAUCUACAAUGCAAGAUGAACUUUCAUAGUGAAGCAACUGAGUAUUUGGGACUCCUCCCAAAGCAUUUCCGGCGAAAGGAUAACAAUCU